RNAcentral lists this ribosomal RNA (253 nucleotides) under uncultured bacterium. Its description in RNAcentral is "partial 16S ribosomal RNA". It matches the Rfam family "Bacterial small subunit ribosomal RNA", at positions 524 to 776 of the family's 1533-position model. The record is from RNAcentral.
UACGUAGGGGGCGAGCGUUGUCCGGAAUUAUUGGGCGUAAAGGGAGCGCAGGCGGUUCGUUCAGUCUGAUGUGAAAGCCCACGGCUUAACCGUGGAGGGUCAUUGGAAACUGGGAAACUUGAGUACAGAAGAGGAAAGUGGAAUUCCAUGUGUAGCGGUGGAAUGCGUAGAUAUAUGGAGGAACACCAGUGGCGAAGGCGACUUUCUGGUCUGUUACUGACACUGAGGCUCGAAAGCGUGGGGAGCAAACAGG